UGCUUGAAGAGAUGGGUAAAGACAUUGUUAUGCAAGAAUCUGAAUGCCUUGGAAAGCGCAGUAGAUUAUGGAAUUGUAAAGAUGUGGAAGAAGUGAUCAGAUAUGAUAAAAACCUUACUAAUUUAAGGAAAUUGACGUUUCAUAUUGCAAGAAUUUAAAGAAGAUCCAUAAUCUUUCAGGAGCCAUCAACCUUGAGCUCCUUCGUUGCAUUGGCUGUGAAAGUUUGGUUGAACUUUGGAAUGAAGAUGAUCAUAUAGAGCUUAUUAAUUUAAGGGAAAUUUACGUUUCAGAAUGCAAUAAUAUAAGGAAGAUAUGUAAUCUUUCAAGAGCCAUCAACCUUGAAUUCCUUGAUUGCUCUUACUGUAAAAGUUUGGCUGAACUUUGGAACGAAGAUGAUCAUAUGGACCUUGUUCAUUUAAGGAAAAUUUACUUUGAUGGGUGCGUGAAUUUAAGGAAGAUACCUAAUCUUUCAAGAGCCAUCAACCUUGAAUUCCUUGGUUGCUCUAAUUGUAAAAGUUUGGUUGAACUUCCUUGCCUCAAUCAUUUGGCAUCUCUUCAUCAGUAUAGUCUUCGCCUUAACGGAUGUUAUAGUCUCAAGAAGUUUCCUCAAGUUCCACGUCCCUUUUGUUCUUUAGAUUUAUCAGAAACCAAAAUUGAAGAAGUGUCUGAUUCAAUUAGGGAUCUCCACAAACUUGAAACUUUGUGGUUAGGGAAGUCAAAGGUGAAAAAAGUAUCGAUCAAUAUUUUAAAGUUGGAAUUCCUUCGUAAAUUGGAUCUUAGCGGUUGCCCAAUUGAAGAAGUGUCGUUGCCUUUCGACCCCCUAUGUAAUCUUCAGCACUUAAAAAUGAGUGGCUCAGCGGUCAAAAAUGUAUCGAUCAAGUUGGAAUCCCUUCGUAAACUGAAUCUUAGUGGUUGCCCAAUGGUCAAAUUUCCAGAAAUCCCAGGAAGCUUAAUAAAAUUAAACUUAUCUGGCACUCAAAUUGAAAAAGUGUCGUUGCCUUUCGACUCUCUAUGUAAUCUUCAGCUUUUAAAUAUGAGUGGCUCAGCAGUCAAAAAUGUAUCGAUCAAGUUGGAAUCCCUUCGUAAACUGAAUCUUAGUGGUUGCCCAAUGGUCGAAUUUCCAGAAAUCCCAGAAAGUUUAAUGGAAUUAAACUUAUCUGGCACUCAAAUUGAAGAAGUGUCGUUGCCUUUUGACGCUCUAUGUAAUCUUCAACACUUAAAUAUGAGUGGCUCAGUGGUCAAAAAUGUAUCGAUCAAGUUGGAAUCUCUUCACUAUCUGGAUCUUAGUGGUUGCCCAAAGGUCGAAUUACUCUCAGAGCUGCCACAAUAUCUGGAAGUCUUGAGUGUAAAUGACUGCACAUCAUUAGAAAAAGUAUCCUUUGCAGAUCAAAAUUUAAUUCAGUUUGAUUCUUUAGAUGAUGAGUUUUGCAAAAAUCAUAACUUUUUGAUGCGAUUCCGUAAUUGCUUCAACUUGAAUCAAGACUCAACUAAUAACAUUGAGGCAAAUGCCAUGCUCAAAAUUGGAUCCCUAGCUAGGAAAUGGGUAGCGAGAGAUGAUUGGCAAUACAACCCUGACAGAGCUCAAAGUUUGAUUUGUUGUUUCCCAGGAAACAAAAUUUCAGCAAAUAAGUUCAAGUGUCAGAGCAUGAAUUCUUCCUUAAGUUUGAAGAUAGCCCCAAAUGGGGGUAGUGGCAGCAGAUUUUUGGUUUUUGCUAUCUCCUUUGUGGCUGAUCUCACUCACAGCCUUGAAUUUCAAUUACGUGAAUGUAUUUGUGAGUACCAACUUACAGCCGCCGGUGGUGGCAAUGGUGGAGGUGGUUGUGAAAAUUUCAGAAGUGAGAUAUCUUUCCGCAGUUUUUAUGAGCCAGUUAAGUACAUGGAUUAUCACGUGUUUAUAUUAUCUAGCAUUGACAUGGUUAUAGAAGACAAGAAUUAUGAGGAGGCAACAUUUGAAUUCUACAUCAAAAAUUUCCAUUUCGAUGAAGACAAUGAUGGAGGAGAAAAGUAUAUCAAGGUGGAGAGAUGUGGUGUUCAUGUAUUUUACGUGGAUGCAAAGAGUGAUAAAGAUGCUACUGAAAAGAGAGCUGCAGGGAACAAAAGAAGCUUUAGCCAUGAUGGUGAAGAAGGGGAUGGAGGACUUAAAAGAUUGAAAUAGUUUGUAUUUCUUUCCAUCUUUGGCUCUGCUUUUGAGGAGUUUCAACUUCUCAAUUAUGUCAUCCAAAUGCAUAGGACCAGUGGUGGACUCGAUUCAGCUUCAUUGUUUAGUUUCCAUCAUUGGUGUCAUCUGGUAUCUCAAGACUUGCUGCAUUUUCCUUCAAUGACAUCUAGAUUCAUUAGAAAGAUUGGUUAUUUGUGCCACUGCUGAAUUGGAGCUUCCAUAUAAGGAGGAGCACCUGAACUGUAAGAGCUUCAAUUUGUUUUGCUGAAUGCUUGCUUUAAACAAGUGUUUUAACUGAUAUUUGGUGAAAAUGUAAGUUGUCAACGGAUUUGUGAACACAACAUCAAAGUAAUCUUUUGAGGCCCUUUCUAGGUUCUCGCAUAUUCAGUCUUGGUGAAGAAAAUUUGCAAGAGAUCUCAAAACUUGUGGGAUGAACACGUGGAGCUAGAUGCAACCUUCGGCAGUUUUCAUUCUCAAGCUAGAUUGGGUUAGUUCCAUGGUAGAGCCAUUGGAGUUGAUAGCUUCUUACCUUGGAUUUUGAUUGUCGUAUAAGUUUGGGCUGAAAUUUCUUUGUAUGUUACUGCCUCUCAUGUUGUUUGAACAUUGCAGUGAAGAGAUAUUAAGAUUCAUACUUGAAUUCUUUUUGGGAA
Molecule: RNA transcript, 2808 nt
Organism: Gossypium arboreum
Lineage: Eukaryota; Viridiplantae; Streptophyta; Magnoliopsida; Malvales; Malvaceae
Gene name: disease resistance protein RUN1-like
Exons: 6
Source: RefSeq, a predicted model, not a curated record